AUCACCUGUGUUUUUGCAACAGAUAACUUGAAUCCCCAUUUAUUUGCCCAUUUUUCCACAGCAGCUAUUGCAGCUUGCAUUUUCUUACUGACGUGCAACACAUUGCGGCCUCUUACCCACAGAGCCCCGUCAUCUGCGUACAAAGAUUUCCCUACGCUUUGUUCAACCUGAGAGAAGAUGUCAUUUAUCAUUAUGUUGAAUAACAAUGGGCUGCACACACUACCUUGCGGAGUUCCAUUUUCCACCUUAUAUACACUGGAGUAUUCUGUGCCAACUCUUACUUGUAUUUCCCUGUCAAAUAGAAAGCUCAUAACCCAAUUAUAUGUUCUACCACCAAUACCCAAUGACUUCAACUUAAUAAGUAACCCUUCUUUCCAGAGAAUAUCAUAUGCUUUUUCAACGUCAAAAAAUACAGCUAUCAGUAUUUCUUUGUUGGUCUGUGCUUUCCUGAUGUCUGAUUCUAAGCACAGUACUGAAUCCAUUGUAUUCCGACCUCUACGGAACCCACUCUGGUACGGGUACAGAAGAGCUUUACUCUCUAGGAAGUAUGUUAAACGCUCUGUGACCAUUCGUUCCAUAAUUUUGCAUAAGUGUGAGGUUAAUGCAAUAGGUCUAUAACUGGAAGGGUCUGACUGAUCUUUUCCUGGUUUUGGAAUGGGCACUAUUAUUGCUUGUUUCCAAGCUAAAGGAAGUUGGCCAACAUCCCAAACUUUAUUAAACAAACCCAACACCGUGUCUAGUGCACUAUCUGUCAUGUGUGCCAACAUUCCAUAACAUACAGCGUCCUUCCCUGGAGUGGUCUGACGAGCACUCGUAAUUGCUCUUCUUAGCUCAAACAUAUUAAACGGUAGAUCUAACGGAUCUCCUGACACCUC
Molecule: long non-coding RNA, 875 nt
Organism: Micropterus dolomieu (smallmouth bass)
Lineage: Eukaryota; Metazoa; Chordata; Actinopteri; Centrarchiformes; Centrarchidae
Exons: 2
Source: RefSeq, a predicted model, not a curated record